Molecule: ribosomal RNA, 253 nt
Filed under: uncultured bacterium
Lineage: Bacteria
Description: partial 16S ribosomal RNA
Rfam family: Bacterial small subunit ribosomal RNA
Source: RNAcentral
UACAGAGGGUGCAAGCGUUGCUCGGAAUUAUUGGGCGUAAAGAGGAAGUAGGCGGUCUUGUAUGUCAGAGGUGAAAUCCCUGGGCUUAACCUAGGAAUUGCCUUUGAAACUGCAAGACUAGAGUUCUGGAGAGGAUCGUGGAAUUCCCGGUGUAGCGGUGAAAUGCGUAGAUAUCGGGAGGAACAUCAGAGGCGAAGGCGGCGAUCUGGACAGGUACUGACGCUCAACUCCGAAAGCAUGGGUAGCAAACAGG